Molecule: non-coding RNA, 4052 nt
Organism: Microcebus murinus (gray mouse lemur)
Lineage: Eukaryota; Metazoa; Chordata; Mammalia; Primates; Cheirogaleidae
Source: RefSeq, a predicted model, not a curated record
UCUUCAAAAAGACAAAACGCCAAACUCGGGGUCCUGAGAAUGCUUCGAUUUAAAAGAGAAUUGUAUUUGACUUAAGGUUUGGCAGAUUAGAACAGGUGGUUUUGUUGAUAAGUUGCUUCAAACUUUUACCCAUUUGAGUGGAAACUCUAGUCUGCGUAAUAUUUUUCAGUUCUCAAGUAAUAAGAGGAAGAAUGUAAUGGUCAGAGCCUCAGCUGGGAUGUACCGAGAUUACUUCAAACCCCAGAAAUGCCUUAUUUGUAGAGUUUAAUCACAUCCGGUAUAACUCAAGCCUUGGGAAGGCUCUUGAUGGAGUGGAGAGUGUGUGGGUUCGAAUCCCACCUCUUCCACCUGCUGGCUGUGGGACCCCACGACCCAGGCCCCGGGCGGAAACUAAGCAGAGGUGACGGGCAGAAGCUCCUGGCAAGAAACGGGCUCAGUAAGCGUUAGUUCCUGUCCCCCUGCCCCUGCCCCUGGGCUUCCCUAGGGCAGCUGUGAGCCAGCGCCCAAGGCACAGCAGUGCCCACCUGCCCGCACCUCCUGUGUCCUGAGCCAGAGCAUCUAGUUCUCGACAGGACUCAAACCUUUUGGGGGGAGAGUUUGCUUAAAUGGAAAAGCCAGUUUGGUGAGGCAUUUAAGACACCCGGACAGUGAAGUUUGUAAGCCGGGGCUCUUGCAUCAAACGGGGUUUCGACUCAGGCUCUGUCACUUCCCAGAAAUGUGUGUGGUUACAUAGCUGCCUUGGGUCUCAGCACGGUGUCGGUGUCGGCAGUGAUAAUAGUGCCUACCUCGUGGGUGCUGGAGAAUUAGAAGGCGUCGCAUGCGGCCCCAGAGCCGUGCUGCCCACUGGGGAGGCAAGUCCUGCGGGUCCGCAGGAGCCUUCAGCCUCCUCCGCGGCGUUUCCUGGGGGAGUGCUCAGUGCGGGGUAGGCUGGACAUUUUCUCUGCUUCUCUUAAGGGUGAGGACAAGCCAGCAAACGACGUGGCAGCAGCGUGAGGUGCAGAGCAGAAGCGCCUGGGACUGCAGACUGCAGCGCGGGCUCCGGGCCUGGCUCCACCACCAGUUCCACGUGUCCUUCUGUUCUCUGGGCCUCAAUUCCCGCUUGUACAAUUCAGGAUGCAAAGAGGUGAUCGGGUCAUUCCUGGCUUUUGACGUCCGGUGUAAUCACAGCCGUCCGAACGUCUGCUCGCAAGCCUUGAGUGACCAGGACCGCAGGAAGCGGCAGUUCAGGGAAGGCUCAGGAUCCUGCAGUUAGGGCUCGGGAAGGAAGACUUCUUCCAGAUCCUCUCCCAGACCGAGAAGAGCUAAUGAGGAAGGAAUGGCCGUGCUUUCCUUGGGCAAACUGGAGGAGCCCUGGGCUUGUCCUCCUCCUCCUCGCCUCCCCAGCCUUCCUCCAGCCCCUUGGCCACGGUGAGACUCCCACCCUGCACUUUCUUUCCAUAUACUGCAGGAAACUUGCUCUCAGAUCCUUCUCCGCACCCAGAAGGAAAUUCAUUCACCAAAUACACACAUUCAACAAAGGGGCGCCUAGUGCACACCGGGCACUCUUCUGCAUGCCGGGACGGAGCUGUGGAGAGGGACACAGUCCCUGUCCUUGAGGGGCUGACACUCUGGUGCAGCCAGAGAGAAAUAAGAAAAUAAGCAAGCAAAGUGGAGCAGGCGGAGUUGGCAGAGAGUUGGAUUUUACUGGGUUGGGGAUUUUCACCACAGCAAGCUCGAGGGAGGCGGGGAGAGUGUAGACAAGACAGGGGCUGAAAUAACCCUGGAAUUUAGGCUGGGAAGGGGGCAGUGAGGAUUGGAAGGGGCGGAGACCAGGUGGUGAGGCCAGUGCACUGUGCCGCCCCGUGGGGGUGGAGGCUUGAAGGAAGGAGCUGGAAACAGGGUUGUUUUUUGCUUCUCUUUUCUUCUUUUUGGACGAGUGCAGCAGUGAGCAAGGAGGACCGAGUAGAACAGGCGUUUGAUCUGUUCACUGUGAGCAGUCCGAGAUAACGCACCACCCCCCGGGCGAGCGUGGGAAGAGGGGUCUUUCCGGACUGCGCAGCUGAGAGCCCCUCCCCUUGGCCCCGCCCAUCAGGAACCAUCAACAUUGCAACCCAAAAGGCCUCUAUAUCCCCCCAAAGGGCCAAUACAAAGCAGGAAGAGGAAGGGAUGCAGACACCGCUUCACGAGUUAAACCAAAGCCAGCCACUUCCACCCAGUCUUACAGGGAACGGGCAAACAGAAAGGCACCCCAAGCGUCAAGGUCCGGUAAGAGCUUCCCGCCAGCUGCGGCCGAGCAGACACACACCUCCCUGGCCCUUCUUCCCCACCACACGGUGAGUUAGAAACUUCUGCCCCAACCUUUGGAGAAACCAUUUCCCUCCUCCAAAGACCUCCUUCCCUUGCCCCAGCUCUAGCAGAGGCCAGACUGGUGCAGCUGGCAGCACCAGAGACGACACACUCACCGUCGGACAGCCGCCGCGGGGGCCUGCAGGCAAGGCCCCGCACUCGCCUCUCCUCAGCGCCCGCUCCCGGACCCGCUCUUACCACCAACGCCGCUUCUCUCCAAGUUACCAAGCUCCAAUCAAGUCUCUCUCCUGAUCCUACCCUUCAAUGGCUGCUGCUACGUACAAAUACCUUGCCCUGGCUUCAGGGUCCUCUAUUACGUCAAUCUCAGGGAGGCUCAAGGUCACACAGCCAGUGACAGGGCCCUUACGCCCAACCCCCUGCCUCACCACCUCAGUGGCUUCCCAGGGAGUGGGAGGUCGGUUAGCCACUGGCUUUGGAAUAUGCACAACACCUCCCUGGGCCAUGACUUUGCCUCCUUUUCAGCCCCACCUGAUAAAAUCGUACCCAUCUCUGGCCAUUUUUCCUUUAUUUCCAAAAUGUUGUAUAGAAUGAGCUCAUAAUUUCACUCUAAAUAUUUUGUAAAUACUUUGCAAGUGCCUUUAUAAUUCAAAAUACAAUUCAUAAACAAAGACUUUUAAAACCCAUUUUUCAAGGCUUGAAUUGCUUCUUUAUUCAGAAAGCUUUUUUUUAUUCCCCAACUAAACAUGAUGUCUCCCCCAAACUCCUCCAUUAUGUCUGGGACCCUCACGUUGCCUCCCUCAGUUGUCUGAGAUGUAUCUUAUAAAUCAGGCUGCAAGUGUCUUGAGAUCCGGGCUGUGUGAGAAUCUUUGCACCCCCACCACAGGACACAAGGUUUCCCGACACGGAGGCUGUACUCUGUUAGUGUUAUACCAAACUGAGAACUUUUACACUUUAGUGAUUUCAAUGACAAGAAAUUUCAAAGGCCCUGUGGAGAGGAUCAGAAGACCCCUCUGUCCUCAGCCACACCAUGGAUGCGAGCACAGGAACCAGGUGGACCCGAGAGGAGAAUGGGAUAGGGGAAAAGCUAUUCUAGGCCCAGCAACCAGUUUGUCUCUGGGAACUUUCCCUCUGCUUCUGCUCUUUGAAAUGUGUCUUUCUAGAAAGAAAUGUUGGAGCCAUAGCCACUGAGAGGUGGGAACACGAUACAGAACAGGCCAGCGCAGUCUUGAAAUGCUGUGGAGCCCACAAGGAAAGCCUUGGCCAGAACCUUGUGAUUCUGCCACCAUUUCUUAGCUGGCUGACCUUGGUUCAAGUCCCUCUUACUGGUCUGUUGCCUUGUCUGUAAAAUGAAGACCAGGUAGGCCAAGGAUCCCUUCCAGAUCUUAGAGAGCAAAGCUAUGCCCUCCCUCAUCCCCCGUGUGUCCCAGCAACCCAUCCACAGCACAGGAGCAGCAGCAAUGGCAACGGGGCAUGAGCAUCCUCCAGUCUCACAUUCGGCAAGCUUGGCAAAUAGGUGCCAGAGAUGUCUAAAGGGCCACUUCUCCUGCUGAAUGAGAAGCAGAUGCUCCUAAAGGAACAUGGCCACAGGGAAGGUGAGGCAUGGGAGGGCAGGCUGGACCUUCUACAGCCCCCAGGAGGCGGCAGCGCCGGCUGGUAGGGAAGCACAGUCAGAGCCCGCCUUCACCCCCUCUGAGCUCCGAGAGACAAACUGACAGAGCCCUCUCCAGCUGGCAGUGUGCAGCAGCCAGGCAGCCCUGUUCUCAAUG